This 387-nucleotide long non-coding RNA is filed under the name Elaeis guineensis (African oil palm). RNAcentral describes it as "long non-coding RNA (EGUI_LNC002235)". The record is from RNAcentral. Lineage: Eukaryota; Viridiplantae; Streptophyta; Magnoliopsida; Arecales; Arecaceae.
UCACACUUUGGCCUCUUUUUCUCCGGCAAGGGACCGGGCAUCCAGCCACGCUGCAACGCGUCAAUCUCGAAGGGCGCUCGCCCUUGCGCGCUUGGCUGGCCACCGAGAGACAGCGCUGUGCCGUGGAUUAGAAUCGGGGCGCAGAGCCAAGCAACGACCCCCAGGUUUAGAGUUUUUAUUACCUAUAAAAAAAUGCAUCAGUGCUCCGAUUCUUCGGCAACUACCAAGGGCUAGGCCUCUAUAUUCCACCAAUAAUGCACAAGCUUCACCGCAGGGGUACAAGGAUGCUGAAAUAUAUAUUAUCCCUAAAGCCAACACCCUAUGUUUCAAAGGCUAGGACUAGGCUCUGAUCAUCUAGAGCUCUAUCUUCUUAUUUUGAGAUUUAUG